GCUUGUCUCAAAGAUUAAGCCAUGCAUGUCUUAGUGUAAAUAACUCUUAUGAAACUGCGAAUGGCUCAUUAAAUCAGUUAUCAAAUACGUGAUGGUCGCCUACUACAUGGAUAACCGUAGUAAUUCUAGAGCUAAUACAUGCACAAAGGCCCACUCACGUGGGUUGUGAUUAUUAGAUUCAAACCGGCCUCGUUCUGGUGAUUCAUAAUAACCGAACGAAUCGUAUGGCAUCAGCUGGCGAUGAAUCAUUCAAGUUUCUGACCUAUCAGCUUCCGACGGUAGGGUAUUGGCCUACCGUGGCAAUGACGGGUAACGGAGAAUUAGGGUUCGAUUCCGGAGAGGGAGCCUGAGAAACGGCUACCACAUCCAAGGAAGGCAGCAGG
This 383-nucleotide ribosomal RNA is filed under the name uncultured Cryptomonas. Its description in RNAcentral is "partial small subunit ribosomal RNA". It matches the Rfam family "Eukaryotic small subunit ribosomal RNA", at positions 30 to 432 of the family's 1831-position model. Lineage: Eukaryota; Cryptophyceae; Cryptomonadales; Cryptomonadaceae. The record is from RNAcentral.